This 520-nucleotide ribosomal RNA is filed under the name uncultured Diversispora. RNAcentral describes it as "SSU rRNA". It matches the Rfam family "Eukaryotic small subunit ribosomal RNA", at positions 569 to 1089 of the family's 1831-position model. Lineage: Eukaryota; Fungi; Glomeromycota; Glomeromycetes; Diversisporales; Diversisporaceae. The record is from RNAcentral.
AGCAGCCGCGGUAAUUCCAGCUCCAAUAGCGUAUAUUAAAGUUGUUGCAGUUAAAAGCUCGUAGUUGAACUUCGGGGUUUACCCAUUGGUCAGGCUUAAUUGUCUGUACUGGUGAGAUGAAUCUCUACCUUCUGAGGAACUUUCAUGCCAUUUAUUUGGUGUGAUGGGAAAUCAGGACUGUUACUUUGAAAAAAUUAGAGUGUUUAAAGCAGGCUAACGUCUGAAUACAUUAGCAUGGAAUAAUGAAAUAGGACGGACUGAUUCUAUUUCGUUGGUUUCUAGGAUCACCGUAAUGAUUAAUAGGGAUAGUUGGGGGCAUUAGUAUUCAAUUGUCAGAGGUGAAAUUCUUGGAUUUAUUGAAGACUAACUACUGCGAAAGCAUUUGCCAAGGAUGUUUUCAUUAAUCAAGAACGAAAGUUAGGGGAUCGAAGACGAUCAGAUACCGUCGUAGUCUUAACCAUAAACUAUGCCGACUAGGGAUCGGACGAAGUUAAUUUUAUAAUGACGCGUUCGGCACCUU